RNAcentral lists this ribosomal RNA (468 nucleotides) under uncultured bacterium. Its description in RNAcentral is "partial 16S ribosomal RNA". It matches the Rfam family "Bacterial small subunit ribosomal RNA", at positions 28 to 507 of the family's 1533-position model. The record is from RNAcentral.
GACGAACGCUGGCGGCGUGCUUAACACAUGCAAGUCGAACGGAAAGGCCCUGCUUUUGUGGGGUUCUCGAGUGGCGAACGGGUGUGUAACACGUGAGUAACCUUCCCUUUACUUUGUGAUAACUUCAGGAAACUGGGGCUAAUACCGGAUAGGAGCUCCUGCUGCAUGGUGGGGUUUGGAAAGUUUCGGCGGUUGGGUAUAUACUCUCGGGUUAUCAGCUGGUUGGUGGGGUAGUGGCUUACCAAGGCUUUGACGGGUAGCCGGCAUGGGAGGGUGAACGGGCACAAGGGGACUAAGGUACGGACCAGACUGCAACGGGAGGCAAUAGGGGGAAAUAUUGCACAAUGGGCGGAAGCCUGAGAAAGAAACGCUGGGAGCGGGAAGAAGGCCUACGGGUUGUAAACGGCAUUAGGCUGAGACGAAGCGUGAGUGACGGUAAUGGGUAAAGAAGCACCGGCUAACUACGUG